This 2902-nucleotide ribosomal RNA is filed under the name Escherichia coli. RNAcentral describes it as "23S ribosomal RNA". It matches the Rfam family "Bacterial large subunit ribosomal RNA". Lineage: Bacteria; Pseudomonadati; Pseudomonadota; Gammaproteobacteria; Enterobacterales; Enterobacteriaceae. The record is from RNAcentral.
UUAAGCGACUAAGCGUACACGGUGGAUGCCCUGGCAGUCAGAGGCGAUGAAGGACGUGCUAAUCUGCGAUAAGCGUCGGUGAGGUGAUAUGAACCGUUAUAACCGGCGAUUUCCGAAUGGGGAAACCCAGUGUGUUUCGACACACUAUCAUUAACUGAAUCCAUAGGUUAAUGAGGCGAACCGGGGGAACUGAAACAUCUAAGUACCCCGAGGAAAAGAAAUCAACCGAGAUUCCCCCAGUAGCGGCGAGCGAACGGGGAGGAGCCCAGAGCCUGAAUCAGUGUGUGUGUUAGUGGAAGCGUCUGGAAAGGCGCGCGAUACAGGGUGACAGCCCCGUACACAAAAAUGCACAUAUUGUGAGCUCGAUGAGUAGGGCGGGACACGUGGUAUCCUGUCUGAAUAUGGGGGGACCAUCCUCCAAGGCUAAAUACUCCUGACUGACCGAUAGUGAACCAGUACCGUGAGGGAAAGGCGAAAAGAACCCCGGCGAGGGGAGUGAAAAAGAACCUGAAACCGUGUACGUACAAGCAGUGGGAGCCUCUUAAUGGGGUGACUGCGUACCUUUUGUAUAAUGGGUCAGCGACUUAUAUUCUGUAGCAAGGUUAACCGAAUAGGGGAGCCGAAGGGAAACCGAGUCUUAACUGGGCGUUAAGUUGCAGGGUAUAGACCCGAAACCCGGUGAUCUAGCCAUGGGCAGGUUGAAGGUUGGGUAACACUAACUGGAGGACCGAACCGACUAAUGUUGAAAAAUUAGCGGAUGACUUGUGGCUGGGGGUGAAAGGCCAAUCAAACCGGGAGAUAGCUGGUUCUCCCCGAAAGCUAUUUAGGUAGCGCCUCGUGAAUUCAUCUCCGGGGGUAGAGCACUGUUUCGGCAAGGGGGUCAUCCCGACUUACCAACCCGAUGCAAACUGCGAAUACCGGAGAAUGUUAUCACGGGAGACACACGGCGGGUGCUAACGUCCGUCGUGAAGAGGGAAACAACCCAGACCGCCAGCUAAGGUCCCAAAGUCAUGGUUAAGUGGGAAACGAUGUGGGAAGGCCCAGACAGCCAGGAUGUUGGCUUAGAAGCAGCCAUCAUUUAAAGAAAGCGUAAUAGCUCACUGGUCGAGUCGGCCUGCGCGGAAGAUGUAACGGGGCUAAACCAUGCACCGAAGCUGCGGCAGCGACACUAUGUGUUGUUGGGUAGGGGAGCGUUCUGUAAGCCUGUGAAGGUGGCCUGUGAGGGUUGCUGGAGGUAUCAGAAGUGCGAAUGCUGACAUAAGUAACGAUAAAGCGGGUGAAAAGCCCGCUCGCCGGAAGACCAAGGGUUCCUGUCCAACGUUAAUCGGGGCAGGGUGAGUCGACCCCUAAGGCGAGGCCGAAAGGCGUAGUCGAUGGGAAACAGGUUAAUAUUCCUGUACUUGGUGUUACUGCGAAGGGGGGACGGAGAAGGCUAUGUUGGCCGGGCGACGGUUGUCCCGGUUUAAGCGUGUAGGCUGGUUUUCCAGGCAAAUCCGGAAAACCAAGGCUGAGGCGUGAUGACGAGGCACUACGGUGCUGAAGCGACAAAUGCCCUGCUUCCAGGAAAAGCCUCUAAGCAUCAGGUAACAUCAAAUCGUACCCCAAACCGACACAGGUGGUCAGGUAGAGAAUACCAAGGCGCUUGAGAGAACUCGGGUGAAGGAACUAGGCAAAAUGGUGCCGUAACUUCGGGAGAAGGCACGCUGAUAUGUAGGUGAAGCGACUUGCUCGUGGAGCUGAAAUCAGUCGAAGAUACCAGCUGGCUGCAACUGUUUAUUAAAAACACAGCACUGUGCAAACACGAAAGUGGACGUAUACGGUGUGACGCCUGCCCGGUGCCGGAAGGUUAAUUGAUGGGGUUAGCGGCAACGCGAAGCUCUUGAUCGAAGCCCCGGUAAACGGCGGCCGUAACUAUAACGGUCCUAAGGUAGCGAAAUUCCUUGUCGGGUAAGUUCCGACCUGCACGAAUGGCGUAAUGAUGGCCAGGCUGUCUCCACCCGAGACUCAGUGAAAUUGAACUCGCUGUGAAGAUGCAGUGUACCCGCGGCAAGACGGAAAGACCCCGUGAACCUUUACUAUAGCUUGACACUGAACAUUGAGCCUUGAUGUGUAGGAUAGGUGGGAGGCUUUGAAGUGUGGACGCCAGUCUGCAUGGAGCCGGCCUUGAAAUACCACCCUUUAAUGUUUGAUGUUCUAACGUGGGCCCCUUACCGGGGUUGCGGACAGUGUCUGGUGGGUAGUUUGACUGGGGCGGUCUCCUCCUAAAGAGUAACGGAGGAGCACGAAGGUUGGCUAAUCCUGGUCGGACAUCAGGAGGUUAGUGCAAUGGCAUAAGCCAGCUUGACUGCGAGCGUGACGGCGCGAGCAGGUGCGAAAGCAGGUCAUAGUGAUCCGGUGGUUCUGAAUGGAAGGGCCAUCGCUCAACGGAUAAAAGGUACUCCGGGGAUAACAGGCUGAUACCGCCCAAGAGUUCAUAUCGACGGCGGUGUUUGGCACCUCGAUGUCGGCUCAUCACAUCCUGGGGCUGAAGUAGGUCCCAAGGGUAUGGCUGUUCGCCAUUUAAAGUGGUACGCGAGCUGGGUUUAGAACGUCGUGAGACAGUUCGGUCCCUAUCUGCCGUGGGCGCUGGAGAACUGAGGGGGGCUGCUCCUAGUACGAGAGGACCGGAGUGGACGCAUCACUGGUGUUCGGGUUGUCAUGCCAAUGGCACUGCCCGGUAGCUAAAUGCGGAAGAGAUAAGUGCUGAAAGCAUCUAAGCACGAAACUUGCCCCGAGAUGAGUUCUCCCUGACCCUUUAAGGGUCCUGAAGGAACGUUGAAGACGACGACGUUGAUAGGCCGGGUGUGUAAGCGCAGCGAUGCGUUGAGCUAACCGGUACUAAUGAACCGUGAGGCUUAACCUU